UACAGAGGGGGCAAGCGUUGUUCGGAAUUACUGGGCGUAAAGGGCGCGUAGGCGGCCUGUUACGUCGGACGUGAAAUCCCUCGGCUCAACCGGGGAACUGCGUCCGAUACUGGCGGGCUUGAAUUCGGGAGAGGGAUGUGGAAUUCCAGGUGUAGCGGUGAAAUGCGUAGAUAUCUGGAAGAACACCGGUGGCGCAAGCGGAUUGCUGGGCCAUAACUGACACUGAGGAACGAAAGCUAGGGGAGCGAAUGGG
RNAcentral lists this ribosomal RNA (253 nucleotides) under uncultured bacterium. RNAcentral's name for it is "partial 16S ribosomal RNA". It matches the Rfam family "Bacterial small subunit ribosomal RNA", at positions 524 to 776 of the family's 1533-position model. The record is from RNAcentral.